GCUGUCCAGCCACAGGCAGACGGACCCUUGCUUUGGCCCUGGCCGGCCAGCUGGACUCGGUGUCAGCCCUCCGAGGGUCAGCAAAAGCAGUCUGUCAGAGACUCGUCACCUGGAUGUCCUCAAGGAAAAAAGAGAAUGAAAAGCCAGAAUUUGAAGGGAAAUUUUAGGCUUUCAUGAAAAUAAUAACAAUCCACAAUGACAAAGAGUCGUGAGUUCUGUAAAGUGAUUUCUGCAUCAGAACCCAGGAAGGUGACUAUUACGGGCCCAGUCUUACAAAUGAGGAAAUUAGGAUAUCGUGGCACAAUGAAUCAAGCCCUCGUCUUGGAGUAAGGAUUCAAGUCUCAGCUCAAAACUCUGUGACUGUGGCCAGGUCACAACUUCUAAGAACUUUAGUCUCCUCCUCAGUGAAACGAGAGGCUUGGUCUCCACGGUCUCCAUGGUCACUCCAGACCCAGGAGUCUAGGAAGGCUGAGAAUUUCAAUGACAGGCCCAGGCAACACAACUGGUGAAUGCUUGGACCAAGAUGUGAAUCUGGGUCUCCUGAAUUUCAAGGGAAGCCCUUUACUCGAGUUGACUAAAGAUUACGGAAAUGAACCAAUGAUGACCAAAGUCAGUCGUUGAAAACUUAAAACAACUCACACACC
RNAcentral lists this long non-coding RNA (644 nucleotides) under Sarcophilus harrisii (Tasmanian devil). Its description in RNAcentral is "lncRNA (ENSSHAG00000022519.1)". Lineage: Eukaryota; Metazoa; Chordata; Mammalia; Dasyuromorphia; Dasyuridae. The record is from RNAcentral.